Molecule: ribosomal RNA, 305 nt
Filed under: uncultured bacterium
Lineage: Bacteria
Description: bacterial SSU rRNA
Rfam family: Bacterial small subunit ribosomal RNA
Source: RNAcentral
CCUACGGGGGGCAGCAGUGAGGAAUAUUGGUCAAUGGGCGAGAGCCUGAACCAGCCAAGUCGCGUGAAGGAUGACGGCCCUACGGGUUGUAAACUUCUUUUGUCAGGGAGCAAUUGAGUCCACGUGUGGGCUUAGCGAGAGUACCUGAAGAAAAAGCAUCGGCUAACUCCGUGCCAGCAGCCGCGGUAAUACGGAGGAUGCGAGCGUUAUCCGGAUUUAUUGGGUUUAAAGGGUGCGCAGGCGGAAUGUCAAGUCAGCGGUAAAAUUUCGGGGCUCAACCCCGUCGUGCCGUUGAAACUGGCGUU